Dujonia railenensis is the source of this 72-nucleotide non-coding RNA. Lineage: Eukaryota; Fungi; Ascomycota; Pichiomycetes; Serinales; Debaryomycetaceae. The record is from the annotation of a GenBank genome assembly.
GCCUUAAUAGCUUAAUUGGUAGAGCACUCGCUUGAAGCGCGAUUAGUCUAAGUUCAAUUCUUGGUUUUGGCA